GCGGGGGUGCCCGAGCCUGGUCAAAGGGGGCGGACUUAAGACCGGCGGGACAAUAUAUUAACCGCCGAGGGGAGAUCCGCUGGCGUAGGCCUGCGUGGGUUCAAAUCCCACCCCCCGCA
This 119-nucleotide transfer RNA is filed under the name Staphylothermus marinus F1. It matches the Rfam family "tRNA". Rfam says of the family: Transfer RNA (tRNA) molecules are approximately 80 nucleotides in length. Their secondary structure includes four short double-helical elements and three loops (D, anti-codon, and T loops). Lineage: Archaea; Thermoproteati; Thermoproteota; Thermoprotei; Desulfurococcales; Desulfurococcaceae. The record is from Rfam by way of RNAcentral.